AGAGGAAUAAUACUUAGAAUUUAGAAAAAAAAUGAAUAUUUAAGAUAUAAAUAAUUUAUAAUUAAAUACUGAACAAAGAGAGAACAGAAAAGAAAAUAAUGGCAAAGAGGAGGAACAUUUGAUGUAAGCAGUGUGUGAGUAAAUACAAACUCUGAAAAAUAAUAAUUAUAAAUGAAAAGAAUAAGACAAAAGGUAAAAAGUAAAAUGAUGAGUGUGAAAAAAAGAGUAAGAAAUAUGUACUGUAAACUUGAAACAGUUAUAGAAAAUGCUAGAGAAAAUAAAACAAUGUAAAGAAAGACCAACUGGUGAGAAAACACUAGAAUAAAUUAGGAGAAAAAUAAAUAAGUUAAGCACAAGCUGAAGCUAAAGAAAUGGAAUUAGAAGAAAACUAACAAAAUAGAAAAUUAAUACAAAAUACAAAUGAUUUAGUAAUAAAUAUUUAAAAAACCAGCUGUUGGGCAGCAAAGAGAAGAACAUAGAUGAGAGGAGUCUUUAUUUGAUAAAGGAAACAUGGGAAAGUGGAAAAUGUUUAGAUAAUAACUAAGCAAAUGUAUAUAUUAAAUUAAGGGGCACGGAGAUGGACUUUGAAGGGUCCUUGUCUUUUCGCCUGCCGGACAUUCCUGAAGGCACUGGGAAAUAGAAUAAGGUGUUUGGAGAAACACAAGGAGCAAAUUGUUGAUUGUGGACUCUUAUUACAUGAACUAAAGCAGUGAGCCAGGCACUGCAUACAGAGAACUGCUGAGACUUGACCCAUCCACAUAUGUUCAAGAGACACUUAAAGAAGGAGAAACAAGAGACUGAUGAACUGAUCAAAAAAGCUAAGCUUUCCAGCAACAUCAGCUGGGUGAAAGAGAAGCCAUCACCAAGAGGAAGGAGGAAUGCGCUACACUUUAACUCCUUCAAAAUGCAGGAAAUGUGGGGAUUCCUGAAUGCAACAAUGCAAAGACUGCACUAUCUAUGAAACAGUUGCCUCGGGGUGCGAGGGAGAGAGAUUGGCUGUGGCCUAGCAAACUCAAUCUCAAAAGCCCAGUAGAACUAUGAUGCAAAUCAAGUACAUUGCAAAUUAAAACAAAAGUGGACCCUUUCUUGAAUCAAAUUAGACUCCUGUCAAAUUAGUCAGGAAGGAAGGUAUUAUAUAAAUUAGGACGUCACAUUUAUUAAAAGGAAUUUGAACUAAAUAAGGAUUACAGAAUAAAAAGAUAAUAUCUAUUAAUUAUAACAGAUAGAAGAUGUAAGUAAGACAAUUGGUAAUGGGGAUCAUACAUUAAGUUAAACAUUUCUGAAGCAGGGCUAGUAAAAAGCAGAAUGUCUAUGAAAUGUAUGAUCCUGAAAGAGAUUUAGACUUAGAAAAUUAAUACCAGGAAGAAAUUAAAGGAAAAAAAGAACAGCACAUUAGAAUAAGUCAACAGUGAGAAGCGCUAAGUGUAAUAAAAUAUGAUUUUGGGAAAAAAAGGGGGUUAAUAUAAUAGAGUUUGUUUCGCAUGUAUAGCCAUAUAACUGAAAAAUUGGGAAGUAAAUUUGAGGAAUAAUGAGGAAAAAAAGAGCAAAACAGACCAGAUAGAUUCAGUGAUUUUACAAAAAAUUACAUAAACGCUGUGGACCCAUUCAGUAUGAUGGACUUGCCUUAAGAAGUAAAUAUCAAGAGAAAGAGAAACAAUAAUGAAUACAACAUCUGAAUGAACAAAUAGCUCAGAAGUUAAAUGAUUUAAACAAGUGUAGUUAAAUACUUAAAGAAUUAUUAUCAUUGCAGGACUUGAAUUUAUAAUUAGAAAAUUAACCAGUACAGUGAGGGUUAAAAUUAAACCAGAUGCACAUCUGCAGAGAAAAUAAGAAAAAUGCUGAAAUGAUUACAAAAACAAUAUUGGAGUUUUAUUGAGAGUAGGAUUAUUAACACCUAGUGAUUAUAAUAUGAAAUAAAUCAUUGGAUAUUUUCGAUUUAAAAUAUAUUUCAAGUCAGGCAUGACUGUGUAUGUAACUAAUAAGAUUUGAUUUUAAUUUAAAUUAAUUUUUUUAAUUAUGCUGCAUUAAAGCCGGUAAAAAGCAGAUGCUAUAAGAACAAUCAAUGAGAGAAAAUCUUCCAGCUGAGGUUCCUACAUUUUAUGAACAAAUGUUCCUCCUGAUGUCAAAUAUUGUUAAGUAAUUCAUUUCUGUUCAGCUUAUUUUAGGUAAUUAGCAGAGGAGGGUAGGUACCAAUUAGUAUUUACAUUUGCUGGUGAAAAUUAUACAUAUAAUGAAGUGCCUGAAGAUCUUAUGAUGAAUAGUAGUUUGUUACACUAUGUAGCUGAUUUAAUUAUCUCCAUAUAGACUUAGCUCAGUUAAAAUACAGAAAACAUAUGAUGACUUUUAGGGAGGAUUUUAGCAUUGAUGGAACAGAGAAUUUUACAAAAAAAAAACAGUACUGGAGAAAAUUUAUGAAACAGGAAAGACUGCAAAAAUACAGUUCUGAAUUAACAGGAAAGAAAGAUACAAUAAAGGCAUUUGAGGUGAUGAAAGAUAAAUUAGUCUGUCAUUGAAGAAAACACUGUAACAGAUUUGAAAGUAAAUAAGCGACAGGAUGUGAGGUAGUAAGUCACCUAUAGUGCUUUUAGAGCUACAAUCUCAAUUAAAGAACAUUGUGAAAAUUAAACAACAAACAGAUCUCUGUGAACAAUCUAGCAUGAAAGGGAGGAAAAGACACAGUCUAUAGCCUAUACAUAAAGGAAUAAUUGCACCAACAGCAUUUCUAAGUACAGUAUACUUAUUGCAGAUGCACAUGAUUUUGAUCAAGGGUAAAGUAUUAGGAAAAAUUAAACAGCAAGGAGAUUGGUCUCCUUAUUAAAUGCAGCGAUUAGUGAGUUUUGCCCAUGUUACAUCUGUGCUAAAUAUAAUGUGAGGAAAGGGACAGCAACCAGUACCUUAAGUGACAUUCAAGCAUUUAGUGAGGGUUUUGAGGUUAUACUAAAAUGAGUACAAGGCAAGAAAUACAUGUUUGUACUACUUAACAGGUUAGGAUUAAAAACAGGUUGUGGUGAUUAAUUAUAUUUCUAAUAAGAAAAACUAUGAUUUCUACAUCUGGAAUAACAUCAGAAAUAAUUUCAAAUAAUGGAUGUGCAUUCAUAAAGUAUUUAGAGUAAUUGAAGUAAACUAAAAAUAGCUAAAUAAGUAAAUGAAUAAGCAAACAAAUAAAUAAAAAUGUUAAAGAAGUACUGUUAAUUAAGAAUAAAUCAAAGGCUAGAGUGAAAUUAUCAUGCACAAUCACAAGGACUGGUCAAAAGCUACAAGAAGAUCCAUUAGGGCCAAAGCUUUUUUUAAAAAUAUGUGAAAAUGCUAAACUUGAUUAAGUUUGGAUUAUUACACUAGACUGAUGUGUAAACAGAUGCUUUAAUGAGCUUUUACAUGUACACUAACAGAAACAGGAACUUAACACUGCAUGGAACGCUAAUGUCCUGUCUAAUACAUUGGCAAAUAAGAAUUUUGUCUUAUAAGAAAAACUAACUGCCAUGUAUGAAGCUGUUCAUUCACAGGAACAGAACAGUGAACGACAGAAGGAAGAUGUUCCUGCUGCUGCUGAUGAUGAUGCAAAUGAAGAUGAGUGAAAGCCUAGAGGAGUUCAUCGAAGCUGCCGGAGCUGAUAUCAGAUGUACACGAGAAAAGAGGGAAGAUGACUACGGGUCAAGGGACACUCCAGUAUCCAGCAACAAAGGAGAAGAAGAGCAGAAUCUACUGGAGGUUUAAAACCCCACUGUCUGCUCCAACACCAGACAGUACUCAGAAGUACCUCUGGCGACGUGGGAUGAAACAUCAGAUAUAGUUCUUUUACAGGGGCUAUGAAUGUUCUGCAAAUAUUGAGAUUUUAUUUUGUGUGUUGAUUAAUCAAGUAUAUAUAUAUAUAUAUAUAUAACCAGUGCUGUGAGCACAGCUGACAAAGCAUAUGUUUUAACAUGACUAAUAAUUUUUGAGUGUUGAACUCCCCAAGAAAGUAUUUAGUUAGGGAGAGUGGGAUCUUUUACUCCUUCUAAAGCCAAAAGUGGAGGGAGAUGUUUGGUUCCGUUUCUCCUCUGAAGUGCGGCGCAAGGAUGCUGACAAUUGAUAAGGAUGUAGAUGGGCAACUUUUUUGGUUGCACAAGAAUGUUAAAAACUGAGCGAAAUGUUAGAUUCUUAAGUUGCACUUCAGCGAGGGAUUUAGGAAAGGGACUUUUUUGAUAAAGCCCCUGAGGGGGGAUUUAUAGUGGAACUUUUAUUAUGUAAUCACUAUAUAUAGUGGAACUUUUAUUAUGUAAUCACUAUAUAAUCUGCCACUAUUAAAAUAUAGAUUACUAUUAAAAUAUACUGUUAAAACUUAUAGAAAGACCUAUAUUCAAGUGAUGCAGAAGAGACAUACAAACAUGCAAGGCCUUAUAAUUGAGGGCCUUACAAUUGAAGCACAGCAGGUCAUGCGCCAAAGUGAGAACAUUAUGACAGAGCGUAUGCAAUACAUUUAGACAAUGUAUAUGUUGAACAAGACAAAAACAACCCUCGCCAAAAUAGCAUACAUAAGGAGAAUCAUUUAGAAAGUAUGGAAACAACAUGAUCAUAUGCAAACACAUGAUUGUAAGCACAUGCUAUGUGACCUUUAAGAUAUGUAAAAACAGAAAAACAUACAGCCAUUAAUUAAAAAGCUAGGAUCCUAUUGGAGCCGGGAAUAGGGUGAUGUUAAAUCAUAUCUCAUGAUACCUAUGGAUAAGAAACUGUAUAUAAACUGUGGGUUUUUGGACAUUGAGUGGGAGAGAGCUCGAUCGACCAUCUCUGCUGUAACAAUAAACUGCUUCAACUUGAGAA
Molecule: long non-coding RNA, 4797 nt
Organism: Danio aesculapii
Lineage: Eukaryota; Metazoa; Chordata; Actinopteri; Cypriniformes; Danionidae
Exons: 2
Source: RefSeq, a predicted model, not a curated record